GACGAACGCUGGCGGCGUGCCUAAUACAUGCAAGUAGAACGCUGAAGGAGGAGCUUGCCCUUCUGGAUGAGUUGCGAACGGGUGAGUAACGCGUAGGUAACCUGCCUGGUAGCGGGGGAUAACUAUUGGAAACGAUAGCUAAUACCGCAUAACAGUAGAUGUUGCAUGACAUUUACUUAAAAGGUGCAAUUGCAUCACUACCAGAUGGACCUGCGUUGUAUUAGCUAGUUGGUGGGGUAACGGCUCACCAAGGCGACGAUACAUAGCCGACCUGAGAGGGUGAUCGGCCACACUGGGACUGAGACACGGCCCAGACUCCUACGGGAGGCAGCAGUAGGGAAUCUUCGGCAAUGGACGGAAGUCUGACCGAGCAACGCCGCGGGAGUGAAGAAGGUUGUCGGAUCGUAAAGCUCUGUUGUAAGAGAAGAACGAGUGUGAGAGUGGAAAGUUCCCACUGUGACGGUAGCUUACCAGAAAGGGACGGCUAACUACGUG
This 495-nucleotide ribosomal RNA is filed under the name uncultured bacterium. RNAcentral's name for it is "partial 16S ribosomal RNA". It matches the Rfam family "Bacterial small subunit ribosomal RNA", at positions 28 to 507 of the family's 1533-position model. The record is from RNAcentral.